RNAcentral lists this ribosomal RNA (373 nucleotides) under uncultured organism. RNAcentral's name for it is "partial 16S ribosomal RNA". It matches the Rfam family "Bacterial small subunit ribosomal RNA", at positions 527 to 896 of the family's 1533-position model. The record is from RNAcentral.
GUAGGGUCCAAGCGUUAAUCGGAAUUACUGGGGCGUAAAGCGUGCGCAGGCGGUUGUGCAAGACCGAUGUGAAAUCCCCCGGGGCUUUAACCUGGGAAUUGCAUUGGUGACUGCACGGCUAGAGUGUGUCAGAGGGGGGUAGAAUUCCACGUGUAGCAGUGAAAUGCGUAGAGAUGUGGAGGAAUACCGAUGGCGAAGGCAGCCCCCUGGGAUAACACUGACGCUCAUGCACGAAAGCGUGGGGAGCAAACAGGAUUAGAUACCCUGGUAGUCCACGCCCUAAACGAUGUCAACUAGUUGUUGGGGAUUCAUUUCCUUAGUAACGUAGCUAACGCGUGAAGUUGACCGCCUGGGGAGUACGGUCGCAAGAUUA